GAGCGCGUAGCUCAGCGGCAGAGCAUCUGACUUUUAAUCAGAGGGUCGAGGGUUCGAUCCCCUCCGCGCUCACCA
This 75-nucleotide transfer RNA is filed under the name Pseudomonadota bacterium. RNAcentral describes it as "tRNA-Lys". It matches the Rfam family "tRNA". Rfam says of the family: Transfer RNA (tRNA) molecules are approximately 80 nucleotides in length. Their secondary structure includes four short double-helical elements and three loops (D, anti-codon, and T loops). RNAcentral also lists the same sequence under 1 other name. Lineage: Bacteria; Pseudomonadati; Pseudomonadota. The record is from RNAcentral.